Molecule: ribosomal RNA, 433 nt
Filed under: uncultured bacterium
Lineage: Bacteria
Description: partial 16S ribosomal RNA
Rfam family: Bacterial small subunit ribosomal RNA
Source: RNAcentral
AACGAACGCUGGCGGCAUGCCUAACACAUGCCAGUCGAACGAGACCUCCGGGUCUAGUGGCGCACGGGUGCGUAACGCGUGGGAACCUGCCCUUAGGUUCGGAAUAACUCCCCGAAAGGGGUGCUAAUACCGGAUAAUGUCUUCGGACCAAAGAUUUAUCGCCUUUGGAUGGGCCCGCGUUGGAUUAGCUAGUUGGUAGGGUAAAAGCCUACCAAGGCGACGAUCCAUAGCUGGUCUGAGAGGAUGAUCAGCCACACUGGGACUGAGACACGGCCCAGACUCCUACGGGAGGCAGCAGUGGGGAAUAUUGGACAAUGGGCGAAAGCCUGAUCCAGCAAUGCCGCGUGAGUGAUGAAGGCCUUAGGGUUGUAAAGCUCUUUUACCCGGGAUGAUAAUGACAGUACCGGGAGAAUAAGCUCCGGCUAACUCCGUG